AGUGAACGCUGGCGGUAGGCCUAACACAUGCAAGUCGAACGGCAGCACAGUAAGAGCUUGCUCUUACGGGUGGCGAGUGGCGGACGGGUGAGGAAUACAUCGGAAUCUACUUUUUCGUGGGGGAUAACGUAGGGAAACUUACGCUAAUACCGCAUACGACCUACGGGUGAAAGCAGGGGAUCUUCGGACCUUGCGCGAUUGAAUGAGCCGAUGUCGGAUUAGCUAGUUGGCGGGGUAAAGGCCCACCAAGGCGACGAUCCGUAGCUGGUCUGAGAGGAUGAUCAGCCGCACUGGAACUGAGACACGGUCCAGACUCCUGCGGGAGGCAGCAGUGGGGAAUAUUGGACAAUGGGCGCAAGCCUGAUCCAGCCAUACCGCGUGGGUGAAGAAGGCCUUCGGGUUGUAAAGCCCUUUUGUUGGGAAAGAAAAGCAGCAGGUUAAUACCCCGCUGUUCUGACGGUACCCAAAGAAUAAGCACCGGCUAACUUCGUG
RNAcentral lists this ribosomal RNA (492 nucleotides) under uncultured bacterium. RNAcentral's name for it is "partial 16S ribosomal RNA". It matches the Rfam family "Bacterial small subunit ribosomal RNA", at positions 29 to 507 of the family's 1533-position model. The record is from RNAcentral.